GAUGAACGCUGGCGGCGUGCCUAAUACAUGCAAGUCGAGUGAACAGAUGAGGAGCUUGCUCCUCUGACGUUAGCGGCGGACGGGUGAGUAACACGUGGAUAACCUACCUAUAAGACUGGGAUAACUUCGGGAAACCGGAGCUAAUACCGGAUAAUAUAUUGAACCGCAUGGUUCAAUAGUGAAAGACGGUUUUGCUGUCACUUAUAGAUGGAUCCGCGCCGCAUUAGCUAGUUGGUAAGGUAACGGCUUACCAAGGCAACGAUGCGUAGCCGACCUGAGAGGGUGAUCGGCCACACUGGAACUGAGACACGGUCCAGACUCCUACGGGAGGCAGCAGUAGGGAAUCUUCCGCAAUGGGCGAAAGCCCGACGGAGCAACGCCGCGUGAGUGAUGAAGGUCUUCGGAUCGUAAAACUCUGUUAUUGGGGAAGAACAAAUGUGUAAGUAACUAUGCACGUCUUGACGGUACCUAAUCAGAAAGCCACGGCUAACUACGUG
This 497-nucleotide ribosomal RNA is filed under the name uncultured bacterium. Its description in RNAcentral is "partial 16S ribosomal RNA". It matches the Rfam family "Bacterial small subunit ribosomal RNA", at positions 28 to 507 of the family's 1533-position model. The record is from RNAcentral.